Non-coding RNA from Salmonella enterica subsp. enterica serovar Typhi, 127 nucleotides. The record is from Rfam. NCBI's taxonomy places the organism in Bacteria, Pseudomonadati, Pseudomonadota, Gammaproteobacteria, Enterobacterales, Enterobacteriaceae.
UAUGAAGCUCACCCGGUUUUUCUUCGCAUUUCUUUUUUAUCUUCCCCUGACCGGGAGGCGUUUCGUCAUGUGAUAAAGAAUGCGAAGACGAACAAGAAGGCCUCCCCCACCGGGAGGCCUUUUUUAU